This 38-nucleotide ribosomal RNA is filed under the name Meyerozyma guilliermondii. RNAcentral's name for it is "partial 28S ribosomal RNA". Lineage: Eukaryota; Fungi; Ascomycota; Pichiomycetes; Serinales; Debaryomycetaceae. The record is from RNAcentral.
GUUUGACCUCAAAUCAGGUAGGAAUACCCGCUGAACUU